RNAcentral lists this ribosomal RNA (492 nucleotides) under uncultured bacterium. RNAcentral describes it as "partial 16S ribosomal RNA". It matches the Rfam family "Bacterial small subunit ribosomal RNA", at positions 29 to 507 of the family's 1533-position model. The record is from RNAcentral.
AGUGAACGCUGGCGGUAGGCCUAACACAUGCAAGUCGAACGGCAGCACAGUAGGAGCUUGCUCUUACGGGUGGCGAGUGGCGGACGGGUGAGGAAUACAUCGGAAUCUACUUUUUCGUGGGGGAUAACGUAGGGAAACUUACGCUAAUACCGCAUACGACCUACGGGUGAAAGCAGGGGAUCUUCGGACCUUGCGCGAUUGAAUGAGCCGACGUCGGAUUAGCUAGUUGGCGGGGUAAAGGCCCACCAAGGCGACGAUCCGUAGCUGGUCUGAGAGGAUGAUCAGCCACACUGGAACUGAGACACGGUCCAGACUCCUACGGGAGGCAGCAGUGGGGAAUAUUGGACAAUGGGCGCAAGCCUGAUCCAGCCAUACCGCGUGGGUGAAGAAGGCCUUCGGGUUGUAAAGCCCUUUUGUUGGGAAAGAAAAGCAGCAGGUUAAUACCCCGCUGUUCUGACGGUACCCAAAGAAUAAGCACCGGCUAACUUCGUG